UACGGGGGGGGCAAGCGUUGUUCGGAAUUACUGGGCGUAAAGGGCGCGUAGGCGGUUCGCUAAGUUGGAUGUGAAAACUCUGGGCUCAACCCAGAGCCUGCAUCCAAAACUGGCGGGCUAGAGUUCUGGAGGGGGUAGCGGAAUUCCUGGUGUAGCGGUGAAAUGCGUAGAUAUCAGGAGGAACACCAAUGGCGAAGGCAGCUCGCUGGGACGGUACUGACGCUGAGACGCGAAAGCGUGGGGAGCAAACAGG
This 253-nucleotide ribosomal RNA is filed under the name uncultured bacterium. RNAcentral describes it as "partial 16S ribosomal RNA". It matches the Rfam family "Bacterial small subunit ribosomal RNA", at positions 524 to 776 of the family's 1533-position model. The record is from RNAcentral.